Long non-coding RNA from Rosa chinensis, 3080 nucleotides. RefSeq lists it as uncharacterized. Lineage: Eukaryota; Viridiplantae; Streptophyta; Magnoliopsida; Rosales; Rosaceae. The record is from RefSeq and is a predicted model, not a curated record. The transcript has 4 exons.
CCCAUCAAAUUUCCUAAAUACUCUCUCUCUCUCUCUCUCUCUCUCAGAGCCUUAGCCCCGCCUCAAACCCAUAUCUCCUCUCUCAGAGCCUUAGCCCUGCCUCAAACCCAUAUCUCCUCUCUCAAUAGAUAAGAUUAUAUAAUUGAAAGGCCCGAAGGAUGCUGAAAGGGGAUCUUGGUAGCAAAGGGGAUCUCGCUUCGUCCAUAGAAUCUAUUAAUCCCAACGGCCAGUUCGCUCUCUUCGGCUCUGGGGACGGUGAGCUUCCGUCUCUGUCGGAAGGUGGAAGACUUCGCUCUCUUCCUCUUCCAGCUCAACGCUCAAGGUUAAUUGCCCCGACGAGGCUGGCUGCGACCUCUGCAGCAUUGUGAUCCAAUUCGGCCUUUGCAUUACCGAAGGAGUCUCUAAUCUCUUCUGGGAUUGGAUUGAAGAAAUCCAGGCCCAACCUACUGUCUCGACUCCAACAGAGACCGGACCCAGCCAUCAUCGACGCCGGCGACCAAGAAGGCCAGACCCGCCGAUCACUCGUCGCUGAACUCGCUCUUCGGCGACCUGGGCUUCUCCGUCGAUCUUCGUCUUGUCUUCGGCUUUAUAGAUCACCUCUUUCUCUCACUUGGUCUGUUCUUCUUCUGCGUCGCCGACGACUCAUUGACGCCGACAAUGGUGGCUGAGCUCUCCGCCGCCGACUUCAUCCCCUCCGAGUCAAGUUUCAGAUUGCUCUGAAGCCUUUGAUGGUUGAUUUGGUUGAGAUGGAUGCUGUUCUAAUAUUACAAAAUCUAAAUCUUCAAUUUUAAAUCUCUAUAUAUCUUUUUUAAUCUAAACUGCAAAAUUUAGAAUACACAUAUUUCAAUUCUGCAGAUUUUAAAUACAUAAGAUUUGAAAUUCAAAUCCAAAUCAAAAUUCUGUUUCCAAACGAGGCCUAGAAGAAUUGUCUUUAUUUCUGGUUUAGUGGAUUUCAGAUAAGAACUUUUGAAUAAUACAUCACCCACAACCGCAUCCCUUCUCUUUUGGGUGAAAAUGACUCGGAUACUAGUCUCUUGUAUACUUGCUUUCUCCUUCAUCUCCACUAAUCCUGCCUUUGCAGUUGCACCUAGGCCUCUUGAAGAAGUGCUAAAGACAUCUCUCAAGGUGGAUUGACUCAAGGGCAACAAACUCAGAUCGCUUGAAAUGAACAAAGAAUAGAAAAGGUAAAAAAUUUCCCCAGAACCUAUAUUUCAACCUUUACUGGUAGUUGGGAAAUGGGGGAAGAUCUGUUGCAUCUUAAGUCCUAAUAUAUGGAGGCAGGAUGGUAGUGACCCUUCUGGUUAACACAUUAUUUUAAAAUUUCUUGCACAUUCUGGAAGAGCUUGAAAAUUUGGAAGAGACAGAGUAUUCAAGAAAGUUUAGGUGCACGUGUUGGGAAGCUAUCUCAUGGUAAGAAGAAAUAAGCAAUUGAAGAAGAAGAAGAACUUUUGAGGUACUUAAUUAAUGAAAAUUAUCUAUGUAAAAGUAUUGCACGUUUAGAAUUUAAGACACUCAAGUACUCACUUUUCCAAGAUUGGACUUUAAAUUCUAUAAUUGAUAAGCUAUUCAGAUUACAGUAAUAAUUAGACUCUGAAAUCAUAGUAUUGAAUUCCUAAUCAUUAGAUUCUGUAAUUGUGAUACUUGCAUUUUGUUGAACUGGCUUUAGAUUCUGAUAUGGUGGGGUUUGUUAACAUUGUUAUUGUCCUUUUCCCAAAAGCCACUCUCUUUGAUCUAACCUCUUCUAGUUGUGUUAUUGUCGAGAAUGUUACUUUGUGCUUACUAACUUAACACUUUCUCUAGUGUUUUCUCUGAGUUGGUUUUUGGGUUAAAAACUGAAUCUAGUAUAUACAAAAGUAUGUUUUUUUUGGUCUUUCUGACCCCUUUUGGCUUACGACAAUCAAGCAGUUUGGUGUCUAUCGGCAUUCAAAAGAAAUCCUUCACAGUUUGAGUCUCUUAGUAAUUCCUUAUUCUUCUCCUCCUGUACCUCCGCUCUCUCUUUGUUUGGCUAAGUUAGAAUUUUCAUUCUUUUACUUAAAUCUCUAGCAACCGAUCUGGAAAACUAAAAUCAAUUUCACUUCCAUCUGUUUUGGGCUAUUCUUCCUCUUGUAAUACUUCUGUGUUUCUCAUGGUUUUUACUUUAUGAUGAGUAUACGGCAUAGUGAAUUGUUCAAUUGCUACUCAAAUUGAGGGUCUGUAGUAGUAAUUUUGAAUUGUUUUGACUUUUUUUUUCUUUUAUGCAGUCUCUCAGGUCGAACAUUUUGACCUCUUUCUGCAUUUGUGGGGUUUCUUAUAAUUCUUUUUAUUAUCUUAAACUGGGAUUAAUCUCUUGCUUUUAAACUUAUGUUUAGUAUUAAUAUAUGGGUUUUGGUUAUACUCGGUUGAUUUUCAAAAAUGCAUCGAGCAUGCCCAUUUGGUAAUUGUGAUUCCAGAAUAUAGCAACUAGGCUCCAAUGUUUGACAAUUUUACUUUACAAGUCCUUGGUCCUAAAAAUUAUCCAGAACCCGUUUCUUUUUACAUUCCCAUGUUUCACCAUGAUUUCCGACUUGGGUUCUCACAUUUCUACUCUUCGUCUAAUCUAGUCUCACGUAUAUAUCGUUUGUCCUUCUCUUUUGUUUCUGGGUUGUUACUUUGGUGUUCACAAUGACAGAUUUAAUUUAUAUUUUGUCAUUGUUGAGUAUUAAUUUUCUGAAACCUCAUUUUUUUUGUACUUUUUAUGUUGAAAAUAGGAUGGUAAGACGGAUGAAAGCCACCACCGCAACAAUUUCAGCACAUGCAGUGAAAAGUUCUAGGCAAACUUUGAAGGCAAGUGAUUGGCAUCUUGAAGGAGCUGGGAGCAUUUAAUAUAUUCUACAGCCAAGCCAUAGGAGGAGAAGAAAAAAACAAAUGUCUAAGCUCUAGAGUACAUUGCAAAUUAUUUUGCUAUUCAGCUUCAAUAGUUAGGUCUCAUGGAACUUUUGCUAUUCAGACUCAUGGAACAAUUAACGACUAGAGUAGUUGUAUUUUGAUGGUUGUAGUGACAUUGGAGGUUCCAUAAUGAAUGAGAACAUCAAUGAAUGGCACGAGCAAACUUAUAUGUGUCA